UACGUAGGCAGCGAGCGUUGUUCGGAGUUACUGGGCGUAAAGGGUGUGUAGGCGGUUGUUUAAGUUUGGUGUGAAAAUCUCCCCGGCUCAACUGGGAGGGUGCGCCGAAUACUGAAUGACUUGGAGUGCGGGAGAGGAAAGUGGAAUUCCUGGUGUAGCGGUGAAAUUCGUAGAUAUUGGGAAGAACACCGGUGGCGAAGGCGGCGACCUGGUCCGAUACUGACGCUGAGGCGCGAAAGCGUGGGGAGCAAACAGG
This 256-nucleotide ribosomal RNA is filed under the name uncultured bacterium. Its description in RNAcentral is "partial 16S ribosomal RNA". It matches the Rfam family "Bacterial small subunit ribosomal RNA", at positions 524 to 776 of the family's 1533-position model. The record is from RNAcentral.